AAUAAACUGCCACCGGGUAGGUAAUGUGAAAGCAUUUGUCGUACAGCGUUAGGUCUUUGAAGCUGUACCGGCAAGUGCUUUUUUUGGA
RNAcentral lists this non-coding RNA (88 nucleotides) under unclassified sequences. The record is from RNAcentral.